GUGCUUGCUUCAGCAACACAUAUACUAAAACUGGAAUGAUACAGAGAAGAUUAGGAUGGCCCCUACACAAGGAUGAUACACAAAUUUGUGAAAUGUUCUAUAUUUUU
This 107-nucleotide small nuclear RNA is filed under the name Dasypus novemcinctus (nine-banded armadillo). The record is from RNAcentral. Lineage: Eukaryota; Metazoa; Chordata; Mammalia; Cingulata; Dasypodidae.